AGAAAUCAGUCCCAUAUCUCCACCUGCUAGAUUGUUCAGAAGGUUGUUAUCAUCCAUCCAGAUGGAGGAUCACUGACAGGAGCGUGGGAAGACUCCAGAAUCCACUCUGGCUGGAAUCCGGUGGAUACAGCAGUGUUACAGAACAGUUCUCCACAGUCACUGUCCACAUGGGUCAGUGGGACCAAGCAGCACUCUGCUAAUGUGUGGACUCUGACCAGCAACAUCCAGCAAGACCCAGACAGCGUUUUCUAUCUCCCAGCUGGAGUUUUUUGUUUGUCUGUGACUGGAGAGUCAGAUUUUUGUUGAGGCUGGAGGAACAGCCUCACACUGGCAGAGUCUCUUUGCAGGAUCAGAAAACAAAACCAGGAGGCGCGUAAAUGUUUCUUCUCCAAUUGGAUGAUGAUAAGACCAUGACACGGGAUGCCACCUUUAGUCUUCUGAUGAAGCAAAGCUCAGGAAGAAGUGUGAUUAAAUGGUAUCCACAUGUGUGCUGCUGAGGAGGAUGUACAGGGGUACCUGCAGCCAAAUCCAAGCCUCUUCAGCAACAGAUGGUGACGGUGUGGAGAGACGGUGGUGUUUCCUCAGAAGAACUAGCAGAGUCACAAAGGGCACCAGUCCAUCUCACCGCCUUGACUUGCUGACUGAUGCUUGUCUGCACCGCACAUUCCCCCCCCUCUGUCCCCUUCUGGCUGCCUCUGCCUCAAUUUUAUCCCACAACUUAGACAUUCACAUUACUCACACUCUCAUUACACAUACAUAUAGGAUCUUGGGGUGGGCACGCCACACAGAAUCCAAAUUACCAUCAGGGUGUACACCUCACCCCCUGGCGCGUUGCCCACCUCUCAAUUUUAAAUACACGUAGACAUUGAGGGCUAGCAGGAGGGGCUAUGCGCCUACCUGCUGCUCUGGCAGGUAGCUCCAUGCCCUCCUGGGUUUUAAAUGCACCUUAGAACACACAUACAUCAACACUACAUAUGAGC
Oreochromis aureus is the source of this 980-nucleotide long non-coding RNA. NCBI's taxonomy places the organism in Eukaryota, Metazoa, Chordata, Actinopteri, Cichliformes, Cichlidae. The record is from Ensembl.